CGCAAUCCCAUUACUCUACGAUAUUUUAUAUUCUACCCUACGGGGAAGGAUGAGAAGCUUCGACCAAGGUUCGACUCGAGCGCCAGCGAGAGAACGUUGCCGCAGGCAACGGCCCGAAGGGCGAGGAGCGAUAGCGACGAGUUAUCCUUCCCCCACCACCA
This 161-nucleotide small RNA is filed under the name Klebsiella variicola. RNAcentral's name for it is "RtT". The stretch from base 29 to 161 matches the Rfam family "RtT RNA". Rfam says of the family: This family represents a bacterial cis-regulatory element known as RtT RNA. The exact function of RtT is unknown although it is thought that it may be involved in changing the cellular response in relation to amino acid starvation. Lineage: Bacteria; Pseudomonadati; Pseudomonadota; Gammaproteobacteria; Enterobacterales; Enterobacteriaceae. The record is from RNAcentral.